AUGAAACUGUUAAGCUGGAACUGCCGGGGGCUUGGGAACGCCCCGGCAGUUCGCGCUUUGCUGGAUGUCCAGCGGAGUUGUAGCCCAGAUGUGAUGUUUUUGUCGGAGACACACUUAGAAAGCUAUCCGGCUGAAUGUUUGAGGAGAAGACUGAAAAUGGAUCAUAAAAUUGUUUGCCCUGGUGAUAGUAGAAAGGGAGGUCUGGUGAUGUUUUGGAAAAAGGAAGUAAAGGUUCUUCCACUAAAUUUGGAUCCAAUGUUCAUUGAUGUACAAGUUGAGGAUGAAGGACACUUAGUGUGGAGGUGUACGGGGAUGUAUGGGGAAUUUAGAUGGACGUAG
Molecule: ribosomal RNA, 339 nt
Filed under: Triticum aestivum (bread wheat)
Lineage: Eukaryota; Viridiplantae; Streptophyta; Magnoliopsida; Poales; Poaceae
Description: partial small subunit ribosomal RNA
Source: RNAcentral